Non-coding RNA from Vigna umbellata (rice bean), 1575 nucleotides. NCBI's taxonomy places the organism in Eukaryota, Viridiplantae, Streptophyta, Magnoliopsida, Fabales, Fabaceae. The record is from RefSeq and is a predicted model, not a curated record.
AUUGAUGUGGGAUCUGUAACAUAUUCUUUCAUGUUGAGGAUUGAAUAUCUCAAGCUUGAGAUUAGAUAUUUGUGGGUAGUUUGAUAGAAACUUGAUAAUGAGUGACACAAUAGGUUCAACAAACUUUAUUAGGAUAAACUCUAAUACAAUAGAGAAAUUAUAUGCAUUCAUGUAAUAGAAUCCUCUAGUGUGUAUGAGCACAACGGAGGAACAUUUAUACAUAUAUCAUGCAAGGUGUCGCAUAGGGAUAGGUCCAAGUCCAAACCCAAAAUAUCCAUAUAACUAGCAGAAACCAUGUGAGAAAAUGAGAAAGGAAAUUUUGUGAAGUGCCUAUUCCACUAAGUAAAUUGAUUUAUUUUAUAAUAAUUAUUACAAAGAUAAUAAAUAACAAAAACUAUUUUCAAGAGAACAAUUAAAACAUUCACAACUUUCUUAGGACCAUUGAACUAUUCUAAACACUGAUUGAUGUACUUUGUAAAGAUAAUUGUUGAAAUAAAAGAGAAAGAGACAUGGGUUGAAUCCCUAAUGUAUAUGGAACACAUAGGGUUAUGUAUUUAUAAAUAAGAAAAUAUAAAGAGAUGGGCUUAAGCAUGUUACAUCUAUUAGCUUUAAUAACAGAAAUAUGAUAAACUGAAUGCGGAACAUCUAACAAUUACAAACAUUCAAUGCUCCAAUUUCCAACAAGCAAUAUCAUGAUCUUCAUUGUUUAAAUGGAAAUUUGAAGUCCCAUGCCUGUUGUUUGUUUCUCUCAAUAGAUGGAUUAUAGCAAUAAAAGUGUUUGCAGCGGUCAAUAGCUCGAUAAUUUUUAUUAGUUAUCUGAGCUAUUGAGUGGUAAAUAAUUACAUUUAUUCUUCAAUAUUUGAUAAUGGUGCUUGGUUACCUUCCAUCAUCUAGUACUUACGUAUUUUGUUGUUGACUUUCAGUUUCUUCAAUUGCACUUAGAUCCAGCUACCAGUAAUACUCUUCCCGCAGCUGGAAAUAUAACCCAAAAUUUGAAAAUUACUAACAGCCAACAUGGGAAGAAAUCGCUUGUCAUGCGUACAAGGAUAGCGUACAAGAUAAAUGGCAAGGAUACACUAGAGGAAGGACAAGUCAAUAAUUUUCCUCGUGAAUUGUGAAGCUCAAUGAUCAGGGGUCAUUAAGGUGAUGCACAAAACCGUUCGUUUUCCCCAGCCUUCCAUAAUUACUGGUGCAGUUUUAACGUUUCAUUCCUUCGAAUGAGGUAUGGUUGGAGCAUCUGGACCACUUUUUGGCUUAAGUUUGAAGUCGAUUCAGUGGCUUCAUUUCUUUCUACCUUUUUUUUACCUAGGUGGUUUAUGUACAUUAGUACAAAAUAUUCCUGUAUGAAUGUGAAAGUCAAAUUUUGCCUCUCAAGGCGAUGAGAGUCGUGUCAUGUUGGGUACUUGAGGUGCUUUCUUGGUAUUUUUUCGGAGGUAGUCGCUCGGUCUUGCUGUCUAAAGUUAUAGUGUUGUUGAAUGCAAUUUGGUAUCCUUUAGACGAUUGAUAUAUUUGAUUUUAUGUAACUUUCUCCCCUAAAGAUUAAUGAAAUGUAAUCUCAAAAUUGUCAGCUCUCUU